AUCAGUAGGGGUUCUGAGAGGAAGGUCCCCCACAUUGGUACUGAGACACGGACCAAACUCCUACGGGAGGCAGCAGUGAGGAAUAUUGGUCAAUGGGCGUAGGCCUGAACCAGCCAAGUAGCGUGCAGGAAGACUGCCCUAUGGGUUGUAAACUGCUUUUAUGCGGGAAUAAAGUCAGGUACGUGUACCUGUUUGCAUGUACCGCAUGAAUAAGGACCGGCUAAUUCCGUGCCAGCAGCCGCGGUAAUACGGAAGGUCCGGGCGUUAUCCGGAUUUAUUGGGUUUAAAGGGAGCGCAGGCGGAGGAUUAAGCGUGACGUGAAAUGUCCCGGCUCAACCGUGGAACUGCGUCGCGAACUGGUUUUCUUGAGUGAGUGCGACGUCGGCGGAAUUCGUGGUGUAGCGGUGAAAUGCUUAGAUAUCACGAAGAACCCCGAUUGCGAAGGCAGCCGACGAGUCCUUAACUGACGCUAAAGCUCGAAAGUGCGGGUAUCGAACAGGAUUAGAUACCCUGGUAGUCCGCACGGUAAACGAUGGAUGCCCGCUGUCUGCGAUACACUGUAGGCGGCCAAGAGAAAUCGUUAAGCAUCCCACCUGGGGAGUACGCCGGCAACGGUGAAACUCAAAGGAAUUGACGGGGGCCCGCACAAGCGGAGGAACAUGUGGUUUAAUUCGAUGAUACGCGAGGAACCUUACCCGGGCUUGAACUGCAGGCGUACGAUACAGAGAUGUUGAGGCCCUUCGGGGCGCCUGUGGAGGUGCUGCAUGGUUGUCGUCAGCUCGUGCCGUGAGGUGUCGGCUUAAGUGCCAUAACGAGCGCAACCCCUUUCUCCAGUUGCCAUCAGGUAAUGCUGGGCACUCUGGAGACACUGCCACCGUAAGGUGUGAGGAAGGUGGGGAUGACGUCAAAUCAGCACGGCCCUUACGUCCGGGGCGACACACGUGUUACAAUGGUGGGUACAGAGGGCAGCUACCUGGUGACAGGAUGCAAAUCUCGAAAACCCAUCUCAGUUCGGAUCGGAGUCUGCAACUCGACUCCGUGAAGUUGGAUUCGCUAGUAAUCGCGCAUCAGCCAUGGCGCGGUGAAUACGUUCAGGGGCCUUGCACUCACCGCCCGUCAAG
This 1121-nucleotide ribosomal RNA is filed under the name uncultured bacterium. RNAcentral describes it as "bacterial SSU rRNA". It matches the Rfam family "Bacterial small subunit ribosomal RNA", at positions 279 to 1401 of the family's 1533-position model. The record is from RNAcentral.